GCCAGGGAAUUACGAGCCCAAGCUUAAAACCCAAAGGACUUGACGGUGUCCCAUCCCCCUAGAGGAGCCUGUUCUAUAAUCGAUAUCCCCCGCUAUACCUCACCGCCCCUUGCACACUCAGCCUGUAUACCUCCGUCGCAAGCUUACUAUGUGAGUAUUCCUCAGUCAGCCUAAAGGUCUAACACCAACACGUCAGGUCAAGGUGCAGCCCAUGAGACGGAAAGAAAUGGGCUACAAUUUCUACCCUAGAACAAACGAAAGACUGCAUGAAACACAGUCAUUGAAGGCGGAUUUAGCAGUAAAAAGAAAAUAGAGAGUUCUUUUUAACUGGGCACUGGGACGCGUACACACCGCCCGUCACCCUCUUUGAACACCCAUAAACGUCAUUAACACUAUAUAACUACAAAAAAGAGGCAAGUCGUAACAUGGUAAGCGUACUGGAAAGUGCUCUUGGAACAAAAUGUAGCUUAACUAAAGCAUCCUGCUUACACCAAGAACAUGCCUGUGAAACUCGGACCAUUUUGAGCUCAAAACCUAGCCCCUCCUACCCCAAUGAACCAACCUCUUACAACAUAAAUAAUAAAACAUUUUUUUACUUAGUAAAGGCGAUCAAAAAGUACUUAAGAG
This 627-nucleotide ribosomal RNA is filed under the name Oreophryne sibilans. Its description in RNAcentral is "partial 12S ribosomal RNA". The stretch from base 1 to 466 matches the Rfam family "Bacterial small subunit ribosomal RNA", at positions 871 to 1533 of the family's 1533-position model. Lineage: Eukaryota; Metazoa; Chordata; Amphibia; Anura; Microhylidae. The record is from RNAcentral.